ACGGCUGGUACAGAUAAUUCCUGUAAUACACAAUGACUAAAAUGAAGAGACACGCCCCUUCACAAAUGGCCAGUGUCGCUGAAGAGUCACGAAUGUACAGGCGCUCUACAAACUCAGACCUAUCCACCGAGCAGGAAUAAGAGGUUUAAAUUUAAAGGCAACAAAGGGGCUAAAACAUGUGCCUCUGGAGCGCGCACACACCUGUGUCCCAUCUUGUCAGGAUGUCUUCAAUUUGAGGGCGCGCGUGGAGCAAAAGGGGACGCUCCAGCAGGUGCGUCACCAGAGCGGCCACCGCCCACAGAGCUGCGUUAGAGGGACUGAGGAUGCAACAGACGGAGCAAAAUAUGAAAAGAAAUUGUUAAUACAUGUCCUGUGGAAACUGGCAUCUUUAUGGUUUCGUUGUGUAUUAUUAUAGACUUCAUGUUUUUUCGCCCUCUUAAAUGAUAUGUUUUUUUAAAUAUCGAAGUGCAACUGUUUAGUGUCAUUUAUGUGUAUGCUGUCAUUAUGGUGAGCGCACUCAGGCUACUUGUUCAACCUUUGACCAGUUUGUAGGCUAUUAGCCUAAUGGUGCGUACAGACCAAACGCUGACACGCCACCAACUUCCAUGUUAACCCUAUGUAGACGUGCUUCGACGCGCUUCGAAAUGUAAGCAAAGAUGUCCGCGCGUAUGAAGCGUUGCAAAUGCGAGCAGAUGAGGAUAAACGCGCGCCAACACCAGGGAGAACAGCGCGGUACACGAGCAGCGAUGCCGCGCCCACUGCUUCAUGCACUCAAGUAAUAACAAUCUACACGUGCGUUCAUUUACGCCUUGUUAACCAAUCCGGGACUGGGCUUAAAUAGUGCGCACAAGCGUCACCUGUUACCUGCAGCAGUGGCGCAAAAAGGGCAUACGCAUUAAAUCAGAAUCAGAAUCAGAAUGGGUUUUAUUGCCAUGGUUUGAGAACAGGUUCACAAACCAUUCAACCGAUGGAAGGAUAGUAAAUCUGUAUAUGAACAAAUUUGGGAUUUAUUUCAUGGAUAACAUUUGUGUUCUAAUUUUUUAUUUUUUUGAAUUAAAAAUGCUUUCAGUCUUUUCCC
This 1078-nucleotide long non-coding RNA is filed under the name Neogobius melanostomus (round goby). RNAcentral describes it as "lncRNA (ENSNMLG00000003608.1)". The record is from RNAcentral. Lineage: Eukaryota; Metazoa; Chordata; Actinopteri; Gobiiformes; Gobiidae.